AACGAACGCUGGCGGCAUGCCUAACACAUGCAAGUCGAACGAGACCUUCGGGUCUAGUGGCGCACGGGUGCGUAACGCGUGGGAACCUGCCCUUAGGUUCGGCAUAACUCCCCGAAAGGGGUGCUAAUACCGGAUAAUGUCUUCGGACCAAAGAUUUAUCGCCUUUGGAUGGGCCCGCGUUGGAUUAGCUAGUUGGUAGGGUAAAAGCCUACCAAGGCGACGAUCCGUAGAUGCCCUGAGAGGAUGAUCAGCCACACUGGGACGGAGACACGGCCCAGACCCCUGGGAGUGGCAGCCGUCCCGAAUCCUCCGGGAUGGGCGAAAGGGGGACAGUGGAACGCCGCGUGAAAGACUAACCCCUCCGGACCGUAGAAGGCUGGAAGGCUUGAGGAUUAAAAGUCUUUUUUACCCGGGAUGUAUUGACGGUACCCGGUAAGAAAGCCCCCGCUAACUUCGUG
Molecule: ribosomal RNA, 458 nt
Filed under: uncultured bacterium
Lineage: Bacteria
Description: partial 16S ribosomal RNA
Rfam family: Bacterial small subunit ribosomal RNA
Source: RNAcentral